AAUACCAUAAAUUUUAAUAAGAAGAAGAUAAAUACUCCUACAUCAGUUAGAUUAAUAAGAGACAUACAGUGAGUGAAUAUAUGUAUAGUUUUUGAGUACUUUCUCAAAAUAAGCUAUCUCUCUGGGACACCAUCUAUUGUUCCCUAGAAUUUGGAGCGUAAAAAUUAGGAGAGACUCUAGUAGCCUCUCCUGCAACUUGGAGGUGUUCUACAAAGGAGAUCGUGAAGAGUUUGUAACGCAAGCAACGAACAAGAUUCGGCAAUUUGGUGAUCUAUUCCACCAAAGGUCACAGCAGUGAUACGUUCACUGCCGAACCUAGGGGCAAAUAAAGCUUGUUUUGACACAUAGUGAGAAUAUCAAGACUUUUGCUGAUAUUUCUUGUCAUCUCGAUCUUGAGGUAGAGCGCAUGGUGGAGCACCAAAACACCCUCCUUAUCACCCAAUCUAGGCAGCAAAAGACAUUUAGGCCUAAACGCAAAGGACAAGGGAGGAAUGCCAAAGGAGCUAGUAACCUUGGGCCUAAAGAAGGCAAGAUAGCAAAGCGCCAAAAGGGCAAGUGUGCUGAGAAGGACAAGACAAAGAUCAAGUGCUACAACUGUGGUAAGAAGGGCCACUUUGCUCGUGAGUGCACUGAGCUGAAGAAGAUUCAGGAGCAACCAAACAUAUAGCCAGAGAUAGAGUUGGGUGUGUGGAUUACAAAAAGAUACCAACAGGCACACAUUAUGUUAUUUUGGGUAACGGAGCUUAAGAAGAAGUCAUAGGAGUUGGAACCUACCAGCUCAAAUUGCGUUUGGGAUGUACAUUACUUCUUCAUGAUGUGCUUCAUGCACCUGGUGUACAAUGUAAUCUAUUUUCAGUACUUACUAUGCUUAAACUUGGAUUUAGUUUUCGUUUUAA
Molecule: long non-coding RNA, 896 nt
Organism: Quercus robur (English oak)
Lineage: Eukaryota; Viridiplantae; Streptophyta; Magnoliopsida; Fagales; Fagaceae
Exons: 3
Source: RefSeq, a predicted model, not a curated record